ACUUCAUUUCAUCUGUUGCAGCUUCAAGCUGUUGUAGCUGACGAUAUGGACAAUAAGCUUCUUCAGUUGUAUGAGUAUGAGAAUUCCCGGAAACAUGGGAGGGUAAUUGACUCAGUAUAUUAUGAAAACGCUAGGAUCCUCCUUCAUGAGGAAAACAUAUAUCGGUUGGAAUGUUCUUCCUCUCCACCUUGUUUGUCAAUCCAGCUUAUGGAUAACAUAACCGAAAAGCCCGAGGCUUCUGCAGUUACCAUGGAUCCCACUUUUGCAAGUUAUUUGAAAAAUGAGUUUCUCUCCAACUCAUCAGGGAAGAAAGAGCUACAAGACAUUGUAUUACAAAGG
This is a non-coding RNA of Camelina sativa (false flax), 339 nucleotides long. NCBI's taxonomy places the organism in Eukaryota, Viridiplantae, Streptophyta, Magnoliopsida, Brassicales, Brassicaceae. The record is from RefSeq and is a predicted model, not a curated record.